Molecule: ribosomal RNA, 685 nt
Filed under: Bacillus subtilis
Lineage: Bacteria; Bacillati; Bacillota; Bacilli; Caryophanales; Bacillaceae
Description: bacterial SSU rRNA
Rfam family: Bacterial small subunit ribosomal RNA
Source: RNAcentral
GUGGCGGGCGGGGCCAAAUAAUGCAGUCGAGCGGACAGAUGGGAGCUUGCUCCCUGAUGUUAGCGGCGGACGGGUGAGUAACACGUGGGUAACCUGCCUGUAAGACUGGGAUAACUCCGGGAAACCGGGGCUAAUACCGGAUGGUUGUUUGAACCGCAUGGUUCAAACAUAAAAGGUGGCUUCGGCUACCACUUACAGAUGGACCCGCGGCGCAUUAGCUAGUUGGUGAGGUAAUGGCUCACCAAGGCAACGAUGCGUAGCCGACCUGAGAGGGUGAUCGGCCACACUGGGACUGAGACACGGCCCAGACUCCUACGGGAGGCAGCAGUAGGGAAUCUUCCGCAAUGGACGAAAGUCUGACGGAGCAACGCCGCGUGAGUGAUGAAGGUUUUCGGAUCGUAAAGCUCUGUUGUUAGGGAAGAACAAGUACCGUUCGAAUAGGGCGGUACCUUGACGGUACCUAACCAGAAAGCCACGGCUAACUACGUGCCAGCAGCCGCGGUAAUACGUAGGUGGCAAGCGUUGUCCGGAAUUAUUGGGCGUAAAGGGCUCGCAGGCGGUUUCUUAAGUCUGAUGUGAAAGCCCCCGGCUCAACCGGGGAGGGUCAUUGGAAACUGGGGAACUUGAGUGCAGAAGAGGAGAGUGGAAUUCCACGUGUAGCGUAAAAUUUGCGGGUAAAAAAAUA